AAAUUAAUUGAGAGGCAACUCUCAACUGGCCAGUUAAGGAAAGGCCGAGAGGUUUAAGCUUAACGGGCAGAAAGUUCUGCAGAGUAGCGCUAAAAUUGCAGAGCGGGAGGUUCGGCGGUAGCGCCUAAAACGACGAACCAA
The submitters of this non-coding RNA (141 nucleotides) gave its source as unclassified sequences. The record is from Rfam.